Molecule: ribosomal RNA, 404 nt
Filed under: Fusobacteriota bacterium
Lineage: Bacteria; Fusobacteriati; Fusobacteriota
Description: Fusobacteria bacterium partial 16S ribosomal RNA
Rfam family: Bacterial small subunit ribosomal RNA
Source: RNAcentral
UGGGGAAUAUUGCACAAUGGAGGGAACUCUGAUGCAGCGACGCCGCGUGAGUGAUGAAGGAAUUCGUUUCGUAAAACUCUGUUCUAUGGGAAGAAAAGGACUGUACCAUAGGAGAAAGUUCCGGCUAAAUACGUGCCAGCAGCCGCGGUAAUACGUAUGGAGCGAGCGUUGUCCGGAAUUAUUGGGCGUAAAGGGUGCGCAGGCGGCUUUACAAGUUGGAUGUGAAAUAUUGUGGCUCAACCACAAACGUGCAUCCAAAACUGCAAAGCUUGAGUUAAGGAGAGGUAAGUGGAAUUCCUGGUGUAGCGGUGUAAUGCGUAGAUAUCAGGAGGAAUACCGGUGGCGAAGGCGACUUACUGGACUUAAACUGACGCUCAGGCACGAAAGCGUGGGGAGCAAACAGG